This 260-nucleotide ribosomal RNA is filed under the name uncultured Synechococcus sp. Its description in RNAcentral is "partial 16S ribosomal RNA". It matches the Rfam family "Bacterial small subunit ribosomal RNA", at positions 1277 to 1533 of the family's 1533-position model. Lineage: Bacteria; Bacillati; Cyanobacteriota; Cyanophyceae; Synechococcales; Synechococcaceae. The record is from RNAcentral.
UAAACCGUGGCUCAGUUCAGAUCGUAGGCUGCAACUCGCCUACGUGAAGGAGGAAUCGCUAGUAAUCGCAGGUCAGCAUACUGCGGUGAAUACGUUCCCGGGCCUUGUACACACCGCCCGUCACACCAUGGAAGUUGGCCACGCCCGAAGCCGUUACUCCAACCCUUGUGGAGGAGGACGUCGAAGGUGGGGCUGAUGACUGGGGUGAAGUCGUAACAAGGUAGCCGUACCGGAAGGUGCGGCUGGAUCACCUCCUAACA